AUGCAAGGUAGGGCCGGUGGCCCGAGAGGCCAGCAGGGUGGAAGGGGCUGGCAUGGGGGAGUGCAUUUGUUGAAAAACAGGAGGCUGCAGAUUUCUAAGAAAGCUCCCGAAAGAGGGGCCAGGGACCCUAGCCAGCCCAGGGCAGGCGAGGCAGAGGAUGGACUGGCCCAAGGAAGGCUCCCGAGGAGCGUUAGGGUGCCAGGCUUGCUUGGGCAUCGCGUGGAGCUGCAUAGGGAAAAAUCAGGGUACGGCAGCAUGGCAUCCCCCUGGGUGCCCUCGGAUGGGAAGCAAACCGCGCUGGGUGCUCGCUCAAGGACCCAGCACGUAACAGCCCCACGGGGAUGGCGGUGGCUGGGGCACAGCCUCCCCCGGGGCACCCAGCUCCGGGCAGCCCCAGCCACUGCCGCGGGCUGCAGCCCUGCCUUUUGUGGGCACAGCUGGGAGCUGAGUUGUCCCAUUGAAAAGCCACUUCAGGGGAUUUUAUCUCAGCUAUUGUUUGGCUCAGGAAACAGCAAUCAACGGAGCAUUGCGUUGCAUCUGGGCGAGCAGGGCCAGUUGGUUCAGAGGGGAAAUACCAGCUGCCCCUCCAUGGGGAUUUCUGGUCUUGGGCGAGCUCGGGUAGGCGCAGCUCUGCCGACCCCACACCUCAGGGCCCUGUGCUUCGUGUCCCCAGCGCGUCAGCUCUCCGCCGUGGUGUGUGCAUGCCCAUACACCGGGUUUUGCAUCCACGGGCUUGUUGCUCCCCGCUUUAAUGUCAGUGUUGCAUUGGCGGGGGUUGCUUUUAAGCAGCCCAGGUGUUUUCCGUUGCUCACUGUGUGGUUAUCAGCCCUUGUGCAUCUCCUUGUAGGGCAUCCUUCGGAUCAGGUUAGCAGACAGCAUAACCAUGUGGCUGGGUGUGUUUGCUUUCUGAUCCUAACCCCCUUCCCUGCCGUGUUUGUUUGCACAGAGCCAGCUUUAUUUUGCCAUCCUACCUCCAUGCUCCCGUGGUGGCAGGCGGGUUUGCAAACCCAUGGCCCCAUCUUCCAGGGGCGGCAAAUUGCUCCCAGGAGCAGACGGGAGCAGGGGCUGCCCAGGGCUGGGCUGCCACUGACUGGCUUUGGCAGGCAAUGGGGGGGUGCAGGAUGUUUUUUUUGGCCAGCGAAACUUCCUCCUCCACUCGCGAAGGCGGCUGUAGCAGGGGAGCUCGAGGACGAGGCAGUUCACCUUGUGGCGGUGGUAAGCUGCUUUUGA
Molecule: long non-coding RNA, 1230 nt
Filed under: Struthio camelus australis
Lineage: Eukaryota; Metazoa; Chordata; Aves; Struthioniformes; Struthionidae
Description: lncRNA (ENSSCUG00000001353.1)
Source: RNAcentral